This 328-nucleotide ribosomal RNA is filed under the name uncultured eukaryote. RNAcentral's name for it is "partial 18S ribosomal RNA". It matches the Rfam family "Eukaryotic small subunit ribosomal RNA", at positions 1470 to 1796 of the family's 1831-position model. The record is from RNAcentral.
CCCUUAGAUGUCCUGGGCCGCACGCGCACUACACUGAUGCAUGCAACGAGUUUAUAACCUUGGCCUGAAAGGUCUGGGUAAUCUUUUGAACGUGCAUCGUGAUAGGGAUAGAUUAUUGCAAUUGUUAAUCUUGAACGAGGAAUUCCUAGUAAACGCGAGUCAUCAGCUCGCAUUGAUUACGUCCCUGCCCUUUGUACACACCGCCCGUCGCACCUACCGAUUGAAUGGUUCGGUGAAGAUCUCGGACUUCGAUAUUUAUUCUUUAUUGAGUUUAUAUUGUGGGAAGUUAUCUAAACCUCAUCAUUUAGAGGAAGGUGAAGUCGUAACA